UUUUAGCCCUGAUUGAAACGACAUCCUUUUUUGGCGCGAGCGAAGCGAGCGGCAAAAAAGAUAGAGUGGAAAGCAGGACCAAAU
RNAcentral lists this small RNA (84 nucleotides) under Halpernia humi. RNAcentral describes it as "Chryseobacterium humi Flavo-1 RNA". It matches the Rfam family "Flavo-1 RNA". Lineage: Bacteria; Pseudomonadati; Bacteroidota; Flavobacteriia; Flavobacteriales; Weeksellaceae. The record is from RNAcentral.